UGGGGAAUUUUGGACAAUGGGCGAAAGCCUGAUCCAGCAAUGCCGCGUGUGUGAAGAAGGCCUUCGGGUUGUAAAGCACUUUUGUCCGGAAAGAAAUCCUUGGCUCUAAUACAGUCGGGGGAUGACGGUACCGGAAGAAUAAGCACCGGCUAACUACGUGCCAGCAGCCGCGGUAAUACGUAGGGUGCAAGNGUUAAUCGGAAUUACUGGGCGUAAAGCGUGCGCAGGCGGUUCGCUAAGACCGAUGUGAAAUCCCCGGGCUCAACCUGGGAACUGCAUUGGUGACUGGCAGGCUAGAGUAUGGCAGAGGGGGGUAGAAUUCCACGUGUAGCAGUGAAAUGCGUAGAGAUGUGGAGGAAUACCGAUGGCGAAGGCAGCCCCCUGGGCCAAUACUGACGCUCAUGCACGAAAGCGUGGGGAGCAAACAGGAUUAGAUACCCUGGUAGUCCAGCGCCCUAAACGAUGUCAACUAGUUGUUGGGGAUUCAUUCCUUAGUAACGUAGCUAACGCGUGAAGUUACCGCCUGGGGAGUACGGUCG
Molecule: ribosomal RNA, 539 nt
Filed under: uncultured bacterium
Lineage: Bacteria
Description: partial 16S ribosomal RNA
Rfam family: Bacterial small subunit ribosomal RNA
Source: RNAcentral